This 206-nucleotide ribosomal RNA is filed under the name uncultured bacterium. RNAcentral describes it as "partial 16S ribosomal RNA". It matches the Rfam family "Bacterial small subunit ribosomal RNA", at positions 1286 to 1500 of the family's 1533-position model. The record is from RNAcentral.
UCCCAGUUCGGACUGGAGCUGCAACCCGACUCCACGAAGUUGGAUUCGCUAGUAAUCGCGCAUCAGCCAUGGCGCGGUGAAUACGUUCCCGGGCCUUGUACACACCGCCCGUCAAGCCAUGGGAGCCGGGGGCGCCUGAAGUCCGGGACCGCGAGGACCGGCCUAGGGCGAAACUGGUAACUGGGGCUAAGUCGUAACAAGGUAGC